CAGCCGCCGCGGUAACACGAAGGGUGCAAGCGUUACUCGGAAUUACUGGGCGUAAAGCGUGCGUAGGUGGUGGUUUAAGUCCGUUGUGAAAGCCCUGGGCUCAACCUGGGAAUUGCAGUGGAUACUGGGUCACUAGAGUGUGGUAGAGGAUAGUGGAAUUUCCGGUGUAGCAGUGAAAUGCGUAGAGAUCGGAAGGAACAUCUGUGGCGAAGGCGACUAUCUGGGCCAACACUGACACUGAGGCACGAAAGCGUGGGGAGCAAACAGGAUUAGAUACCCCUGUAGUCCCUGUCUCUUAUAA
RNAcentral lists this ribosomal RNA (301 nucleotides) under uncultured bacterium. RNAcentral's name for it is "partial 16S ribosomal RNA". It matches the Rfam family "Bacterial small subunit ribosomal RNA", at positions 509 to 809 of the family's 1533-position model. The record is from RNAcentral.